Cyprinus carpio carpio is the source of this 1205-nucleotide long non-coding RNA. The record is from Ensembl. Lineage: Eukaryota; Metazoa; Chordata; Actinopteri; Cypriniformes; Cyprinidae.
CUGAAUGCGCGUGAAUUGGAUCUCAUAGCCGGAGCUCGAUCUUGGUUUGAUCUAGAAGUGAAUCCAUGUGAAUUUUACAACUAGUCGAUCACUAAUCGAAGAUAAAUGAGCGCUUAAAUAGUGUGGUGAACAUCUCUCCUCUCAACACUCACACGAUGACAGUUAAUGUCUGAGAUGAUGAGCCUCUCAAACUGCUGUGUCUUUGUGAGAGACCAGAGGACUGGAGCUAAGGGGGAAAACGCCAUCUGCAACUGCCAGCCAUUUACACUGCCUUUUUGGAGCAAGAGGGAGAGAGGAAAAAAUGGUGCAAUUGUCCAAAUGAAAGAAAAGAAAAAUAAUAGUCAACCCUCAUCCUUCUUCUACCAGCUCCCCUCCCUUCUUCAUCAACGGAAGCAUUUAGUGCCAUCUGUGCCCCCGGAGAAAAGAGGAAAAAAGGAAAGGAGUGAGACUCUACAUCCCAAGUGCCAAUGGGGACAAAGAGGCUGCCAGUUGCCACGGACCACCAGAUGCAGGAAGACUGCAAGUCUGAAUGAGGGGUGUGCUUUCAGGAAGCCAUCUUGAUGGAGAAACUGGCUGCUGCUCCCUAAAAUGGCUGUGUUGGCAUGAGGCUCCUGGCGAUGAAACUCUGAAAAAUUCCCAUCAUUGUCAUCAGCUGCUGGAGAAACCGUGGCCAUGCUGCUAUGUUUGACUCAAAUGGUCAAUCACAUCACCUCAGGAAUCCAGCGUCCAGCAUUUCUUCCAGAUGGUUCGCUGUGAAAAUUUAACAAGCAGAUGAUUUCGAAUGUGCACUAAUUGUCUUAAAACCUUGCAGACAAUCAGUAAUACUGGAUGGGUGUGUGGAUUUGGGCUGUUCGCCCAGUUAAAUCUUAGAUGUUAGAAAAUGUGUUGUACAAUCUUAUCAGUGCUGUGUAAACUGAAGAGCAUAAUGUGCCUUAAUGUGUGAAAAGUUUACAAUGAAAGUAGUUGUUAUUGAAACAUGUCAGUGCAAUCCCGAUUUUAAAUAUUAGUAUUUUCAAUGACCUUUCAUGUUAGUCAUCCAUGUUUCAUGUUAUUAUAUUAUAAAAUGUGCCUGUUUCAGUUGAUUUACAGGAAAUUGGUUAAUCCAGAUAUUUUGUAUGGCUACUGUAUGUAUGGUUUAAUACAAGAAUUAUGCUCAGUUUCUCUCUGGAUUAUCAUUUGUCUGAUUAUGUGAUAUGUGAAACAAA